GGGAGAGAGAGAGAGAGAGAGAGAGAGAGAGAGAGAGAGCAGAGAGAGAGAGAGAGAGAUUUGAGUUAAUCAUGAUUAAGGUUGUGAGAUCAAUGAUCGAAUAAUCUGAUACUUUUACGCAUUCCUGCGUGUUAAGAUCAUGUUGAUGUGCCCUAU
Molecule: long non-coding RNA, 156 nt
Organism: Rhodamnia argentea
Lineage: Eukaryota; Viridiplantae; Streptophyta; Magnoliopsida; Myrtales; Myrtaceae
Exons: 2
Source: RefSeq, a predicted model, not a curated record